AUUGAACGCUGGCGGCAGGCCUAACACAUGCAAGUCGAACGAGUGGCGGACGGGUGAGUAAUGUCUGGGAAACUGCCUGAUGGAGGGGGAUAACUACUGGAAACGGUAGCUAAUACCGCAUACCAUCAGAUGUGCCCAGAUGGGAUUAGCUUGUGGGGGGGGUAAAGGCUCACCAAGGCGACGAUCCCUAGCUGGUCUGAGAGGAUGACCGGCCACACUGGAACGGAGACACGGUCCAGACUCCUACGGUAGGCAGCAGUGGGGAAGUUUGGACAAUGGGGGCAAUCCUGAUGCAGCCAUGCCGCGGGUAUGAAGAAGGCCUUCGGGUUGUAAAGUACUUUCAGCGGGGAGGCGUUACCCGCAGAAGAAGCACCGGCUAACUCCGUGCCAGCCGCCGCGGUAAUUC
Molecule: ribosomal RNA, 406 nt
Filed under: uncultured bacterium
Lineage: Bacteria
Description: partial 16S ribosomal RNA
Rfam family: Bacterial small subunit ribosomal RNA
Source: RNAcentral